GACCGAACCGACUAAUGUUGAAAAAUUAGCGGAUGACCUGUGGCUGGGGGUGAAAGGCCAAUCAAACCGGGAGAUAGCUGGUUCUCCCCGAAAGCUAUUUAGGUAGCGCCUCGUGAAUUCAUCUCCGGGGGUAGAGCACUGUUUCGGCUAGGGGGCCAUCCCGGCUUACCAACCCGAUGCAAACUGCGAAUACCGGAGAAUGUUAUCACGGGAGACACACGGCGGGUGCUAACGUCCGUCGUGAAGAGGGAAACAACCCAGACCGCCAGCUAAGGUCCCAAAGUCAUGGUUAAGUGGGAAACGAUGUGGGAAGGCCCAGACAGCCAGGAUGUUGGCUUAGAAGCAGCCAUCAUUUAAAGAAAGCGUAAUAGCUCACUGGUCGAGUCGGCCUGCGCGGAAGAUGUAACGGGGCUAAACCAUGCACCGAAGCUGCGGCAGCGACGCUGAUGCGUUGUUGGGUAGGGGAGCGUUCUGUAAGCCUGCGAAGGUGUGUCGUGAGGCAUGCUGGAGGUAUCAGAAGUGCGAAUGCUGACAUAAGUAACGAUAAAGCGGGUGAAAAGCCCGCUCGCCGGAAGACCAAGGGUUCCUGUCCAACGUUAAUCGGGGCAGGGUGAGUCGACCCCUAAGGCGAGGCCGAAAGGCGUAGUCGAUGGGAAACGGGUUAAUAUUCCCGUACUUGGUGUUACUGCGAAGGGGGGACGGAGAAGGCUAUGUUGGCCGGGCGACGGUUGUCCCGGUUUAAGCGUGUAGGUGUGUGUUCCAGGUAAAUCCGGUUCACUUUAACACUGAGGCGUGAUGACGAGGCACUACGGUGCUGAAGCAACAAAUGCCCUGCUUCCAGGAAAAGCCUCUAAGCAUCAGGUAACAUCAAAUCGUACCCCAAACCGACACAGGUGGUCAGGUAGAGAAUACCAAGGCGCUUGAGAGAACUCGGGUGAAGGAACUAGGCAAAAUGGUGCCGUAACUUCGGGAGAAGGCACGCUGACACGUAGGUGAAGUGAUUUACUCAUGGAGCUGAAGUCAGUCGAAGAUACCAGCUGGCUGCAACUGUUUAUUAAAAACACAGCACUGUGCAAACACGAAAGUGGACGUAUACGGUGUGACGCCUGCCCGGUGCCGGAA
This 1122-nucleotide ribosomal RNA is filed under the name Salmonella enterica subsp. enterica serovar Johannesburg. RNAcentral describes it as "partial 23S ribosomal RNA". It matches the Rfam family "Bacterial large subunit ribosomal RNA", at positions 772 to 1874 of the family's 2925-position model. Lineage: Bacteria; Pseudomonadati; Pseudomonadota; Gammaproteobacteria; Enterobacterales; Enterobacteriaceae. The record is from RNAcentral.